RNAcentral lists this ribosomal RNA (253 nucleotides) under uncultured bacterium. RNAcentral's name for it is "partial 16S ribosomal RNA". It matches the Rfam family "Bacterial small subunit ribosomal RNA", at positions 524 to 776 of the family's 1533-position model. The record is from RNAcentral.
GACGUAGGGGGCAAGCGUUGUCCGGAAUUAUUGGGCGUAAAGAGCGCGUAGGCGGUCCGAUAAGUCGGCUGUGAAAGUCAGGGGCUCAACCCUUGAAAGCCGGCCGAUACUGUCGGACUAGAGUCCGGAAGAGGCAAGUGGAAUUCCCGGUGUAGCGGUGAAAUGCGCAGAUAUCGGGAGGAACACCAAUGGCGAAGGCAGCUUGCUGGGACGGUACUGACGCUGAGGCGCGAAAGCGUGGGGAGCAAACAGG